This 544-nucleotide ribosomal RNA is filed under the name Bifidobacterium animalis subsp. lactis. RNAcentral's name for it is "bacterial SSU rRNA". It matches the Rfam family "Bacterial small subunit ribosomal RNA", at positions 158 to 704 of the family's 1533-position model. The record is from RNAcentral. Lineage: Bacteria; Bacillati; Actinomycetota; Actinomycetes; Bifidobacteriales; Bifidobacteriaceae.
GGGUGGUAAUACCGGAUGCUCCGCUCCAUCGCAUGGUGGGGUGGGAAAUGCUUUUGCGGCAUGGGAUGGGGUCGCGUCCUAUCAGCUUGUUGGCGGGGUGAUGGCCCACCAAGGCGUUGACGGGUAGCCGGCCUGAGAGGGUGACCGGCCACAUUGGGACUGAGAUACGGCCCAGACUCCUACGGGAGGCAGCAGUGGGGAAUAUUGCACAAUGGGCGCAAGCCUGAUGCAGCGACGCCGCGUGCGGGAUGGAGGCCUUCGGGUUGUAAACCGCUUUUGUUCAAGGGCAAGGCACGGUUUCGGCCGUGUUGAGUGGAUUGUUCGAAUAAGCACCGGCUAACUACGUGCCAGCAGCCGCGGUAAUACGUAGGGUGCGAGCGUUAUCCGGAUUUAUUGGGCGUAAAGGGCUCGUAGGCGGUUCGUCGCGUCCGGUGUGAAAGUCCAUCGCCUAACGGUGGAUCUGCGCCGGGUACGGGCGGGCUGGAGUGCGGUAGGGGAGACUGGAAUUCCCGGUGUAACGGUGGAAUGUGUAGAUAUCGAAAAA